GGGGGCGCACAGGUUUCGACGGGGAACAGAGCAACUCCACGAUGGCGUGCCGGAUCCAUCCGUCAACUGGAAACCACACAACUGCCAACGAUAACUUGGCUCUCGCGGCUUAAGCCGUGACGCGUCGUCGCACAGCCUGAUCCGCGGCUGGCGGCGAGGCGACGACUAAAGCGGAUCGAAGGGUUCGGAGGGCCCCGCGCCGAGCCCGGAUCUUUUGCGGGGCUGGCGACUGUGCCGGCUGCCUUCGGCCCAAGCACAGCGGCGAGACAACGAUUCGGAGGCUACGCACGUAGACGUUGUGGGGUUGCGUUUUCCGGACGUGGGUUCGAUUCCCACCGCCUCCACCA
This 347-nucleotide transfer-messenger RNA is filed under the name Thermoanaerobaculia. RNAcentral's name for it is "J023 sp003697015 Standard tmRNA". It matches the Rfam family "transfer-messenger RNA". From Rfam's summary of the family: Bacterial tmRNA, also known as 10Sa RNA or SsrA, is named for its dual tRNA and mRNA-like properties. Its role is to liberate the mRNA from a stalled ribosome. To accomplish this part of the tmRNA is used as a reading frame that ends in a translation stop signal. The record is from RNAcentral. Lineage: Bacteria; Pseudomonadati; Acidobacteriota. RNAcentral also lists the same sequence under 1 other name.